CUGCAGCUGCAUUGAUAAGUGUUGGGGAACGACUGAGCAAUGCUUUCAGCUUGACCACAUCGCCAACAGCAGCGAAGUCAUGCAGCUGGGAAACCAUGCUCUGUCGGAGGUCCUUGUCAAAGUCUGUCAUUCCAUUAGCUGGGCGCUGCUGCCGGCGCGGCCACCUUGCUGGACAGGUUCGGGGCAGGCGGCCAUUUUGUUUUUCAGGCAGGAAACGGUGCGGUUCUAAAACCGGGUCAGACGGAGUGGUGGCUUGGCUUCGUUGCACGGGUGGGAGGCGGAGCCGGGCAGCGGUAGCAAAUGCAGGUACUGGUGGGUAAAAGUGGAACAGAAGCGGCGUCGUGGCAGGGGAGAAGACUUAGCGCGGAAGCUGGAAUGAUUGUACGUGCCAGGAGGUAGUUCCAAUAAAAGCGUGUUGGGCUAAGAAAUGCUUGGGGAAGUCAAGGCCACACCUGCAAGUUAACGCGGGAGUGUUGUUCGGUGCACUUGCCUCUGGCGAGUACCUAACGAGAUUUUUAACAAAAACUAAAAGAUAUUGCCCGUGGCUCAGUAUGCAGUAAGUCAGUUUUCACACACUUGGGGAGACAUUUCUUAUUCAUUUCAGGUUUCCACAAAGCUGGGGGCUAGGUGCUAGUCCACAAUGCAAGCACUGCCCCCACCCCCACCUCCCCUGCCCCGUAAAGGACAUUCGAUGAUACAUUUAUACAGAAAAACUGCAGGGUCUGUAAGUUUCCAAACCCAUCCCCUUUACACUGCUUGGUUAGUAAUUUGCAUACAAUUACAAUAUGGUUACACAACUAUAUCUGCUAUCAUGCAUGCUUAGAGGAGUGGUUCUCACCUGAGUGAGGGUGUUUCUGACCUAGGGGUGUGAUUUUUGGUAUUGUAAUGAUGGUAGUACAGUUAAGGAUGCAUCAACCUUAAGUCGUCUUUGCCAAGCUGGCAAUAUGCACAGAACAUCCUCAAAGUACUCUUACUAACUGUCCUUUUGAGGUCUUGUUGUUCCAGAGUGUCCUUGUUGAAAGAAUGGCUGUGUACUUUUCUGCUUACAGCCUAAAACUUCUCAGUGUAUACAAAGUACCUGUUGCACAAACAAUCAGACCAUUCUAAAUUUUCUGUUAUCCUUCAACACUGUCGUGGCAAACCUGAGUCCAGCACCAGUUAGUCUGAAGUCCUGGUGUCAUCCUUGACCUUCCAGAGAACAAGAACACUAUUCUUUUAAAAAACCUGUUGCUUGAAAAUGUAAAAUUAUUUGGUUUCUUUUUUGUAUUUUUUGUAAUUUUUGAUCUAGGAGGAUUCACAUUUUCAAAUUUCUUCACUCAUCUUCAAAGCCAGAAGAACUGGACAGCUUUUGUUCCUGCUGCUUUAAGGAAACGUAAUAUAUUCCCACAUCCAUGUAUUACCAUAGAGCCAUUUAUUUCUGAGUGAAGGGUAUGAAAGACAUUGCGACUGGGUCCUGUCAGUCUCGGUAAUGGCACAUGUAGUUGCUAUAUCUUGUGUAGCCAUUGAUAGAAAACCUUAAUUUUAAAAACUCAUAAUAACAAAUCAUAAGUUAUUAUAUUUAUAUAAGUUUUAACUUAUAAAGUUUGAGUAAGUUUUUUUUUGCAGCAUGUGGGGUUCUAAAUUUAGAUAGUCACCGUUAAAAGCUUUCAUACAUCAUAGUAAGUGGCUUGUUGAACAUAAUAGACAGUACAAAGUUUAUGCGUAUAUUGUGUGGUCUUUAUAACUCAUUGGUAACCAAGCUUUCAAUAAUGUAGUUGGUGUUUUGUACUCUUAUUAAAGCUUCCUCACCAGGGGGUCAGCCAUGUUGAAGGAAACUCCCCUUAGAAACAGCGCAGAUGCAGACCAGGGAAUGUGCAUGAAGAAUUUGUAAGAUUUUUUUCCAGAUAGGAACAAAUGAAAAAGUUAAGGGAUGGGAUUUUAAUUUUAUUCUCUCAGCCGGAAAUUGGUCAUAUCCUCUGAGAUGUGGGUCAUGUACCCAGAAGCAAUUAUUUCUACCUGGUGAAGUGGUACCACCAGCCCUACACUAGCUAAUGCGCCAGAUAGUUGUUUUCUUUCUGUGAUGAUUCGUGGCUGAAGAGAAAACAGCUUUAUUGCUGUAAUAGGCAAAGGCACAGUUGUACUUACCUUCUUGGUAGUGUCUUAAAUCUGCCAUUCAUGAAGUUGGGAUAACUCAGCCUUACAUCCUGAUCUGUGUAAUGAAUUCCCUGAUUUAUUAGGUAGGCUCCGUAAUCUUCGUGUUCUUUACUAACUCGUGGUGCCCUGUUAACAGUUCUGAAACUUGUUUUCCUUCUGUGUAAAACUCAAGAAAGCAUUCUAAACCUAGAAAGCAUACUAGGAAGGAGGCUAAGCUGUAAGAUGAGUAUUUUGGGAUUGAAAAAGAAGUGUAUCACUUGAAGCUUCUAUAAAGCCAAGUAUGUGCCAUCUCUAACAUUCAUAUUCAAGAUAAUGAGACCUGUGUAAGUUGCAUAUGUGUACAGAAAAAAUCUGGUAUUGUAGCACUGAUCAGUAAGUUACUGUGUUCUGCUACACAGUGUCACAAAUGCUAUAGACUACAAGAACAGGUAUGGUUUGGGGAGGCUUUUAUUAUCUUUGAUGGUGGUUCUGGCAGGACCUUUAUUAUCUAUGGCAUGUACAAUGCGAAAUGGAGUUUCAGAUGGGUAUCUAACGUACCUGUGUCAUACUCGAGUUUUUUAUUACUUUAUUAGGCUUUUUUCUUGUAAUAAAUUUUUUAAAGGCUAAAAAAAAUCUGGUACUUUUUAAUAUUGCUGGAACGGUUAUUGUUCUGCCUUAGAAUUUUUCUACGUGUAUAUGAGUGUCAAGUUACCUCUUUUAGCAUAACACUGACCUCAGUAUCACCUAUACCUAUGGAAGAUUCUUUCCUUCUUGAACAAAAUGUGUGUAGACUUUGUAUUGUAUCCAUAAGACAUGUGAAGUCUUUUUUGUGCUAUUGGGGUAUUAUUGCUAUCAAAAUGCUCCUGCCUCCCCUUUUCCCUUCUCCCUUAAUUUGCCUUCUGGAAGUUUUGAUCACACGAGUCCAAUACGUAUGAUGGGUACAUAUUUGAUGUCUGUAUUAUGGAUUGUAUGUUGGAUUCUGCAGAAACUUCUGUUUCUGCCUCCCUGAAGGAAGAGUCACUUUCAAGGAACUGUCCUUGAACUUCCUUCAAAGUUUGGUAGUUUUUUUUCCUCCCUGUUUUCCAAAUGUAAAGGGAUUGUAUCUGCCUUAGUAUUGCUAAAGGGUUUCCCAAUUUGCAAAAUAUGAAGGAUGAUUUUCUUCUUGAAUGGUAAGCUGUUUAGACAGAAGCGUUCUUGUUCUUGAUUUUCGCAGAGGUCUGUACCUAUUCCAGAAGUGCAGUAUAAGGUGACUAAUGCAAUUUUUUUUUAAUGCUUCUUUUGUAUCCAUUGUUGAAGAAAAAUCAUGAGUUACAGCAGAUUUUUUGUUCUUUAGAAAAUGUGAUUUAUGUAAUGAGUUCAAAUUAAUUGUUAUACUAAAAGUUGUAUAGGUUGUGGUUUUUUCAUUGUUACCAACAUGCUUUCAUAUAUUAAAUAAAAAAUAAAAAAGAGAAAGUAGUAUUUGAGAGGUCAGAAUACAGUAGUGAUACUGCUGCAGUAAAACCUUGCAAAACUGAUUGCAGUUACUCCUGUUGGGACACAUAGGUUAAGAUAAAUGCAGUUCUUCCAUCUGUAUUACAUUUUCAGGGUUUUUUUGCAUUUGUAUUAAACAGGAAUGACUCAUAAGGAUGUCUGUUUUAAUGUUUUAUUUGAAUUCUUAACUAUGUUUUCAAAUACAAAAUUAGCUUUUAGAUGUGGAUCUCAGAAGGUUUAAUGUGCCAUUCAUCAGCUUCUUAUGUUAGAAACAGAGCUUUAGCUGGAGAUAUAUAUAUAUAUAUAUGUUUUAAUCUUUUUUUAGAGCUGUUAGUAGGAAGGUCCUCUUUUCUGUGUACAUGAUUGAAAUUAUGUGAAAAUAUGGAAAUAGUUGGAGGUUUUGAUGCCUUUGAGCUAUAAAUUCUACUGUUAAAUAACAUUAGAGCCAAACUGUGUCCUGCCCGGUUCUCUGUGUGCUGAUUUUUGUUACUGUGCAGUAUUUUUCAUAGUGAAUAUAUAUUAAAAAAUAUACAUUACCUUGUCCUUCUAAAUUUGAUUUACUUGUAAUGUCAACAUACGUUCACCUGAAAGUCCACACCAGAUAGGUGGUUCCUCACUGGAUCAGUAUUAUGUGUGUUCUGUGUGAUCUGCUAUUAUGGUCAGACUGUAGCUGGUGACUCUCCCAAAUGUGGCCUUUGCAGGACACUUAUUUUACUGGCAUAGUGGUUGAGAUUGCAAAUUUUUUGUGUCCCCCCCUAUCCGCCAUGUGCCUUUUCCAAAUUUGUGUAGUACAUGAAUAACAGUAUUUUGAGUAACAGGAAUUGUGCUGUGCUGCUUGUGUGUACUAAUGUAUCACUCAAGGGCAGUGUCAUUUCUUACUCUUGAGGAGUAUUGCAGGAUGCUGGAAAUGUAUGAUCAGAAAUAGAUAAUGAAAGGAACCAAUUCUUCUCUUGCUGAUGGAAUGGUACAUUCUCUGUUUCUUGACAUCAUGUGAGCAGUUCCCAGCUUGCAUGAUUGAAAGUUACCUUAAGUGGAAUUUGCACCAUCUCCCAGUGCAUCGUUGCAAAAAUAACUUACUACUCCUUGUUUUAAAUAUCUGUACUAUAAUAAAAAAACUGAUUGGGAAUUUAAAAUUAUUUUAACAUACCAACUCGUGAGUUUGAAAAUGUUUUAGUUCUGCUAACAGGUUUAGUUACUGUGCUGGAUAAAAUGUUGCAAAUUAUUGUGAAUAUGCAAAACUUCAUUUAAUCACUGAGCUGAAUUUUCUAAGAGCAAUUUAAGGGUUCCUUAGAAUUAAAAUAUGCAAUGGUAACUCGCUUUAAAAACUUUUUUUACCUUUGAUGUAUUCAACAUCUAAGUAAAGCUUACUGAGAAGGUCAAAGUAGUGCUGGACUUGGGUGUGCCAUGAUUAUUGAAUUUUGUAGUAAGUAAAUAAAUAACUGGCCAGUAUAGUCUUUGAUUUGACUGUGUCCAUUAGCUCUUUAGUAGUGGGGAGCAUUGUUGUAGAGGUGUAUUUGUAAGGCAUCGGGCGUUUGAGUGAGGUUGCCAGUGUGAGAAUGGAAAUGGAUGCUACGCCACUAAUUUACUGUGAUCCUGAAAGAGCCUCUGGUGGCCGUGUAUUGAUAGUGACUAAUGACAGUCUUUUCAAAGUGUGUGCUGAUUACUGCAGCCAGCAAACAGGGAGUAAUAUCUGAAUGCCCUGAUGCCCUAUUCAUUUUGUGCUGCAGCCUGUAGAAAAAAUUGCAUGUGCUGUGAAGAAUGUACCAAAGUGCCUUGGGAAGCACUGCAGUGUGUGGGCAAAACAGACUUGGAGUGCCUGCAAGAAGUGACACAGCACUGCUCCUGUUAGUCUAAAAGAUGGCAAAAUGGUACUACAAAUGGGAGAGAAGCAGUCUGAAGAGAUGUUGAUCCCCAGUUGUUUCAUAACCUUGCCUGCAAAAGCCUAGCAAUAUAGAGUUAAUGUGAAAACAGGCUCUUAGUAUUACUAUGGAGAAGAGACCUCUCCAGGCCAGGAACUACUGUAAGUUUAGGUUGUACCAGAGCAUGUAGCUUUUCAGGGAUUCCAAAUGCAUGAAGAGUUAAAAAAAAAAUAAAAAUCUUAAAGAAACUUGGAAGACAAUACUCUGAACUUCCUCUUGUUGUGGAUGUGAUGUGACAUGGAUAUGAUAAAUGUAAGGAAAAAUAACAUCUGAAUGUAUGACUUGUGACCCUCCCCCACUGAACAUUCUUAGAAGCAGUAUCUCUGGGAUGUUACUGUUUCAGACUCUCAAAACCUGUGUGUUUUUCCCAAAUUAGUAGUUAGAAGAUGACUGGAAAAAUAAAUAGCAAAAUAGACUAUUUUUAUGGGAUUCAUUCAUACUGUCACACCUCAUGUACAAGCAGGAAGUGUUUUUCUAUGGUGGGUCACUGUAGUCAGACCUCCUGGCUGUUGACUCUGAGGGUUUAGGUACCCAACAGUGCAGUGUUUUCAGGAUUAUGCACCUAGGGAGAGACAGCUCUGAGACUUGCAAUGUGUUGUCCUUAAACAUCCUUUAGCAAAUGAGAUCUUGGAGACCUGUCAAUCAGAGAUAUAUCACCUCCCGGUAUGCAGGUGGCAUUAUGAAGACACUGCAUCUGUAGAAGUCACAGGCAGUGUGGAAACCAACAGUACACAAGAGUGAGGAGAUUGUUACUUACACCUGUGGUGUGACUUAAGUAGAUUGGCCAGCCUUUUUAAGCCUAACGAGUCUUGGACUGGCUGACCAUGUAACAAGCCCUAUUCAGGUAUCAGCUCUACCUGGGCAGCUAACAUCUGUAAAGAAAGGGAUCAAUAAUGCAAUUCCAGGGAGGGAAAAAGUUUGUGGCUUUUUUUUUUUCUUUUAUUUUUUUUUCCUGGGACUGAGUUGGAAUAAAGGAAAGAAUGUAGAAAUGAGGUAUCUGUAUUUUGAUCUGGUGUUAUCAGGCAGUAUAGCUCUGGUCUGAGCUACCUUUUCAAAUCUUUUUAUUUGAGUUACUAAACUGUGCUGAGGGAGAUCUCUAGAAAUGACUCUGGUAACCGUCAGUUCUUUCUGGACUAGGGAAAAAGGCUAGCUUGAUUAUUUAGGUUAAGAUGUUUAUUAAGACCAAUGUAAAAUCUCAUGUUUAUAUUAUUUAGAUUCUUUAAAGUGAGAAUCUUGAUUGAUCCUAUUUUAAUGUUGGAACUAGAUUACACAUGAGAAUAAUUUAUUUAAUGUUCUUCAGACUCAGUAAAACAGUAGCAGUAUCAUAGAAGGUUUGCUAGUUCUUUAUUUGGGCCUGUACUUCAUUCUUACCUCUCAAUUUCAGCAUGUUUUAUGAAAGCUCUGUUUUUCCAAGAGUCACUGCGCUAGGUGAAGGUUAAAAGGCAACUCCGGUUUUAAGUUGCUCAUUGGAAUCAAAACAAAGUAGUGUAGUGGAUGUGUGAAAGGAGUAUGUUGCCAAACAGUUUAUGUACAAUGCAUUAUAAUAGAUUAACCUUUUAGCACAACUUGGCUUAAAAAAAAAAAAUGCAUCUUAGGGAUUCAAUGCUGUUAUGAGGCAAGCAGAAGUCAGUAUUAUCUGAUGAGGUUUCUUGAACUGGCACUGCAGCAUUCCAUAAUAGUCUCCUUCGGUGUUUCCAACCAGGACUUUGGCACAAUCUUAACUAGUCCCCCCAGCCCAGGCAGCUCCCUGAUUAAUUUCCAAGCAGUCCUCCUUGAGAACCAAGUGGACAAAUGCUAAAGGCCUGAUCUAGGGUCCAUUGGUAUAAAUACGAGUCUUUUGGUGCUGAAGAGGUGGAACCAGUUUGGUGGGAGUUUUCACUUUCUUGUAGGAAAGAGCUGAAGCAAAGCUGUAUGACUCAUUAUUAUGAAAAAAGAAAUGCAUUUGCAGGUGUCGGUUAAUUUCAGUUAAAAAAUACCAAAAUACUAUCAUGUGUUCUUAGUGUUAUCUCUAGGCCUCAGCUGGCAGUCUACAGAAUGGGGAAAGUAAGAGUUCUUUCAAUGUAGAAUGCUAUCAGUCAGCUACACUGUCUUAACUGGAAGUUUCUGUCAGCCGUGGAAUGUACAGCAAUAUAUGCAUUGCCUGACAAGAAAGACGGAAUGCAGCAGUAUUAAUCUGCUCAGAAUGUUCCUGAAAAGUGGAUGGUUUGUGUUAUGAUGAGAGGCUGAAGGCAAUAAAAAUGUAACUGUUCAAAGAUGUAACCCAAAGUGCCAACAGGAACAUUUACAGUAUAGUGAUCUGCUGGACUCCUCAGAACCUGAUGGACUGUGCAGUAGAGUCGGCACCUUGAGAUCCACCAGAAGGAUUUUUGCUAGCUCAACUACUAGUGCAGGUGGAGGUGAUCAUGCAAUGGACUGCUAUCAGAAGGAAAAGAAAAGGAAAAGAAGCGAUUUGUCACCGAGUACUCCCUGUAACCAGUGAAAUAGUUCAACUGAAUUUUGGGAGAGCUGUCUCA
Falco peregrinus (peregrine falcon) is the source of this 8014-nucleotide long non-coding RNA. RefSeq lists it as uncharacterized. The record is from RefSeq and is a predicted model, not a curated record. The transcript has 4 exons. Lineage: Eukaryota; Metazoa; Chordata; Aves; Falconiformes; Falconidae.